Molecule: ribosomal RNA, 434 nt
Filed under: uncultured Lachnospiraceae bacterium
Lineage: Bacteria; Bacillati; Bacillota; Clostridia; Lachnospirales; Lachnospiraceae
Description: partial 16S ribosomal RNA
Rfam family: Bacterial small subunit ribosomal RNA
Source: RNAcentral
ACGGAAGGCGGCAGUGGGGAAUAUUGCACAAUGGGGGAAACCCUGAUGCAGCGACGCCGCGUGAGUGAUGAAGUAUUUCGGUAUGUAAAGCUCUAUCAGCAGGGAAGAUAAUGACGGUACCUGACUAAGAAGCCCCGGCUAACUACGUGCCAGCAGCCGCGGUAAUACGUAGGGGGCAAGCGUUAUCCGGAUUUACUGGGUGUAAAGGGUGCGUAGGUGGUACGGCAAGUCAGAAGUGAAAAUCCGGGGCUCAACCCCGGAACUGCUUUUGAAACUGUCGAACUAGAGUACAGGAGAGGUAAGUGGAAUUCCUAGUGUAGCGGUGAAAUGCGUAGAUAUUAGGAGGAACACCAGUGGCGAAGGCGGCUUACUGGACUGUAACUGACACUGAGGCACGAAAGCGUGGGGAGCAAACAGGAUUAGAUACCCUGGUA